RNAcentral lists this ribosomal RNA (363 nucleotides) under Mollemeta edwardsi. RNAcentral describes it as "SSU rRNA". It matches the Rfam family "Eukaryotic small subunit ribosomal RNA", at positions 591 to 960 of the family's 1831-position model. The record is from RNAcentral. Lineage: Eukaryota; Metazoa; Arthropoda; Arachnida; Araneae; Tetragnathidae.
CCAAUAGCGUAUAUUAAAGUUGUUGCGGUUAAAAAGCUCGUAGUUGGAUCUCAGUUCGGGACGGGCGGUCCGCCUACCGGUGGUCACUGUCCGGUCCCAACACCGGCCGGUUUCCCUGGAUGAUCUUCACCGGUUGUCCUGGGUGACCGGCAAGUUUACUUUGAAAAAAUUAGAGUGCUCAAAGCAGGCGCGACGCCUGGAUAAUGGUGCAUGGAAUAAUGGAAUAGGACCUCGGUUCUAUUUUGUUGGUUUUAGGAACACGAGGUAAUGAUUAAGAGGGACAGACGGGGGCAUUCGUAUUGCGACGCUAGAGGUGAAAUUCUUGGACCGUCGCACGACGAACUACUGCGAAAGCAUUUGCCA